Long non-coding RNA from Xiphophorus couchianus (Monterrey platyfish), 823 nucleotides. RefSeq lists it as uncharacterized. Lineage: Eukaryota; Metazoa; Chordata; Actinopteri; Cyprinodontiformes; Poeciliidae. The transcript has 2 exons. The record is from RefSeq and is a predicted model, not a curated record.
GUCUCCACCACGUACGCUCCAACUUAGGAGAAAAAGAGCCAGGGUCAGAGGUGAAUAUCUGUGGGAAUGCAGACGUCCUGCGGCGCUGGAACUGUCACUGCUCUGAGAAACUGGUCUGUAACAUAAAUAAUCACACAGUGAUCAGCCUGGGACAAUAUUCUCGAGGAGAGAGCACAAUACCCUCCACCCCAAGGCAACCGGGCCUGAAACAAUACCGCACAGGCUAAAACAACAUCCCAGCCAGUUCUGAGCCGACUCUGGGGUUUGGGUAAGGCUCGAAGCAACAACGCUCGGCAAGCAGCACCACACAAUGACUGCAUUGGGAAAUGAUCCAUCAGGAGCUGACGCAGAUCAAUUCAAGCCUAAAAUAUGGUUAAGCAUGAUGUUGAACCUCUGACUGAGGCCUGGACCGCAGCCACCAGGCUAUUCAUGCUUUGCGACCUGAUCCACAGAUGCCCUUUAAAUCCUGCAUGCUCACUGCUAUAAACCUCUCAAGUAGUGUAAACACAGACACACACGUUUAAAACAGGCUGUCCAGUACACAAAUAAACAUACAGGAAAAGUCACAUCGCUUACUGGACAGACGCCCGGUGACCAGGGCGGGAGGAAAAAAUUAUAAUCAUGCAAUGCAUUGCAUGCAUUCAGCUCAGGUUAUGGAAAAUUCCCAGUAAGUACCAACUGGAGAGGGAAGCUUGAAGUAGUGCAAAAACUGGUGUAGAGCGCCCUCCUGUGACGGAACAGCUGAACUAGAAAUGCUGGGUGAUGAAACCACUCAACAACCAAUUACGCUUUCAUGGCGUAAAAGGAUCAGCAAUAAAGUGGA